GGGGAAUUUUCCGCAAUGGGCGAAAGCCUGACGGAGCAAUACCGCGUGAGGGAAGACUGCCUGUGGGUUGUAAACCUCUUUUUUCAGGGAAGAAGUAUGACGGUACCUAGAAGAAUAAGCAUCGGCUAACUCCGUGCCAGCAGCCGCGGUAAUACGGGGGAUGCAAGCGUUAUCCGGAAUCACUGGGCGUAAAGCGUCUGUAGGUGGUUUAGCAAGUCUGCUGUUAAAUACUGGGGCUCAACCCUAGGCAAGCAGUGGAAACUGCUAGACUAGAGUAUGGUAUGGGUAGAGGGAAUUCCCAGUGUAGCGGUGAAAUGCGUAGAUAUUGGGAAGAACACCAGAAGCGAAAGCGCUCUACUGGGCCAUUACUGACACUCAGAGACGAAAGCUAGGGGAGCG
RNAcentral lists this ribosomal RNA (399 nucleotides) under uncultured rhodophyte. RNAcentral describes it as "bacterial SSU rRNA". It matches the Rfam family "Bacterial small subunit ribosomal RNA", at positions 356 to 770 of the family's 1533-position model. Lineage: Eukaryota; Rhodophyta. The record is from RNAcentral.